Python bivittatus (Burmese python) is the source of this 437-nucleotide non-coding RNA. The record is from RefSeq and is a predicted model, not a curated record. NCBI's taxonomy places the organism in Eukaryota, Metazoa, Chordata, Lepidosauria, Squamata, Pythonidae.
AGCUUAUGGCUUUGCCAUAUCAUGCAGAAGAUUGUUGCUUCUACUUGUCUCAUUAGAUUCAACAGGAGAGGUACUCUCUGAGCUGGAGGAAGUAAGUGGAUGUGCAGAUAUCUGCUUGCUGAGCACUAGAGGCUACAGUAAAUCAGAAUCAAUUCCAGGCUUUCUCCAAAUCAGGAGCUGAGAAAGAAAGCAGGGUCGGUUUGCAACUACAAAGAUUAGACUAGAAGCUUUUGCUUUCAUCAGCUUCAAGAAUGGAUUUACUGGAUUGCAAUUGUCCUCAUACGGCUUGUAUAUUAUAUAGGUAGUACAUUGAAUACAAAGAAAUAUCUGUAGGAUGAACUUCUGUUACUACCAAGUGAGCCUGUUCAGCUGUGGAUUGUUACAAAGAAAGAAUUAGCAAUGUUUUGUUUCUCUUGUUCAAAAGUCACAUUAUUGUA